Molecule: non-coding RNA, 164 nt
Organism: Paramuricea clavata
Lineage: Eukaryota; Metazoa; Cnidaria; Anthozoa; Malacalcyonacea; Plexauridae
Source: the annotation of a GenBank genome assembly
UAUAGGAUCCUAUAGGAAUAGAAUUCCUAUAGGAAUUUCCUAUAGGAAUUCCUAUAGGAUCCUAUAGGAAUAGAUUUCCUAUAGGAAUUUCCUAUAGGAACUGAAUUCCUAUAGGAAUUUCCUAUAGGAAUUUCCUAUAGGAAUUUUCCUAUAGGAAUUUUCCU